AGUGGCGUACGGGUGAGUAACACGAAGGCAAUCUACCCCAAAGUCUGGAAUAACCUGCCGAAAGGCGGGCUAAUACUGGAUAGAGCGACGGAAUCCGUAAUUGGGUUUUUCGGGAAAGGGAGGGAGCAAUCCCCCUUGCUUUGGGAUGGGCCUGCGUCCCAUCAGCUUGUUGGUAAGGUAAUGGCUUACCAAGGCGAUGACGGGUAGCUGGUCUGAGAGGAUGAUCAGCCACACUGUAACUGAAACACGGUCCAGACUCCUACGGGAGGCAGCAGUGGGGAAUCUUGCGCAAUGGACGAAAUUCUGACGCAGCCACGCCGCGUGAGUGAAGAAGGCCUUAGGGUUGUAAAGCUCUGUCGGAGGGGACGAAAAGCAUUAGGGUUAACAGCCCUAGUGCCUGACGGUACCUUUAAAGGAAGCACCGGCUAACUCUGUGCCAGCAGCCGCGGUAAUACAGAGGGUGCAAGCGUUGCUCGGAAUCAUUGGGCGUAAAGGGCAAGUAGGUGGUCUCAUUUGUCUAGGGUGAAAUCCUUGAGCUUAACUCAAGAAGUGCCCUAGA
This 559-nucleotide ribosomal RNA is filed under the name uncultured bacterium. RNAcentral's name for it is "bacterial SSU rRNA". It matches the Rfam family "Bacterial small subunit ribosomal RNA", at positions 94 to 630 of the family's 1533-position model. The record is from RNAcentral.